Molecule: unclassified non-coding RNA, 388 nt
Filed under: Hevea brasiliensis (rubber tree)
Lineage: Eukaryota; Viridiplantae; Streptophyta; Magnoliopsida; Malpighiales; Euphorbiaceae
Source: RNAcentral
GUCUACCCAAAUUGUUUGCAGCUCAAUUGAGCAAUUCCAUGAUGUGAUUCCGGGAUCCUGUGGCAUUCAUUGCUCCUACCAAUAAUCAAUUGGAUCCUUUUCCAUUGUCGAUGGCGAGGUUCUUUAUUAGCUGGGGACUUUAUGUGCUAGCAUUAGUUGAUUGAAUUGCGGAUCCAUCGUUUGUUCUUGAAUGGCGUGGUUUAGUGGGAGGGUUUCGUUAGGCAACUUUGCCGAUAUUGCUGGUGCGGUAAAUAAGCUCCAAGAGAGCGUGAAGAAUAUUGAGAAGAAUUUUGACUCUGCUCUCGGGUUUGAAGAGAAGUCGGAAUCCAGCAGUGAUGCUCCUGGAUUCUGGCAAUCAGCUACUGAAGGGAAAGCACUCUUUGAUCCA